UACAGAGGUGGCAAGCGUUGUUCGGAUUUAUUGGGCGUAAAGGGUCCGUAGGCGGUUUGGAAAGUCGGGUGUGAAAUCCUACAGCUUAACUGUAGAACUGCAUUCGAAACUCCCAGACUAGAGUAUGAGAGGGGUUAAGGGAAUUCCCGGUGUAAGGGUGAAAUCUGCAGAGAUCGGGAGGAACACCAGUCGCGAAGGCGCUUAACUGGCUCAUUACUGACGCUCAGGGACGAAAGCUAGGGUAGCAAACGGG
Molecule: ribosomal RNA, 253 nt
Filed under: uncultured bacterium
Lineage: Bacteria
Description: partial 16S ribosomal RNA
Rfam family: Bacterial small subunit ribosomal RNA
Source: RNAcentral